Molecule: long non-coding RNA, 1136 nt
Organism: Mastomys coucha (southern multimammate mouse)
Lineage: Eukaryota; Metazoa; Chordata; Mammalia; Rodentia; Muridae
Exons: 7
Source: RefSeq, a predicted model, not a curated record
GAUGCUGCCAUGUUCCCACCUUGAUGAUACUGGACUGAACCUCAGAACCUGUGCUGGUUGUUCUGGGAGCUGGACAUGCUGAGGUGUGCCAACCAUGUUGGUAGCACUGAAGGGGUUCACAGAGAGCAAGCUGAAUUGGAAGGCUCCCCCAUCUGUCUCUACAGACAGGGUGAAGAAGACAGAGAGGCCUUGUGGCCGGGCCGUGUGACGUUCCCGAAGCCUGGACCAGAGCAGUUAAGCCCUUGCCUCUGAUAAGAGUAAAGCAGAAAAGGCUGUGCAAUCUGUGCUUCCAUAACCAGAAUAGCAACACUCGUGUUUCUAUCUGACCUAUAAGUAAGUGAUUAAGAAUUACAAACAAUUGUGAAAUAUAAAUUCAUCAGAAAGCUAGAAUAAGCUAUACGGAAGCCAUUUGGGAUGAGUCUUCAUGAGAAGAGCCUGGAGAGCCUGUUCACUAAACCCAAGGCAGAGAAAACUUCAGAGACAUGUGCUCCUGUCAUGAUGUGCUGCCACAAAUUGACCUCAUAGAGGCCAGGUCAAGCUCACUGCUCCCCUCUACCCUCCACCACUGCCUGUUCCCACUAUUCUUGGAUGUUGCACUUUCAAAACUCUAAGAUGGAGAAGAUGGAAGAAAUCACCUUUCCUUCAGGCCUUGCUAUCUCAACACUACAGCAGUUAUACCAAGUAGCCCAGCAUCAUCUUCUUGACCCUGCCCAUUGAUUUGGAUGGACUUGGCUAUUGGAUACUUGCUAUGAAAGAAUUUUUUUAUUACAUCAACUGGGAGGGAUGCAAAGUUGGAACGAAGUGAUAAAAACUUAAAACCUGAGCAUCUGAGACAGAUGGAAGAGGUGUUUACACAAUAAGAAAUUAGUGAUUGGGUCUGCCUGUCUGUUACCUUCUACACAGCUCUAGGGAAUUCAGAAGUCAGAACUGUCUUUGUGUAUGCCAAGGAGAGGACUGGUGUGUAAAGGUCCUGGAGAGCCUCAGGAAAGGAUGCCAACCAUGUGACCAGGGAAUGUAAAUUGCAAUCAUCAAACACACGGAGUAGAAAUCCAGAUUCAGACCUGCAAGGUGGCUUCCUGAGGACUAACUGAAUGAACUUGGUCACUGGUGAUGGAUCAAAGCAGCUUCAUCUUGAC